CAUCCCUCCUCUGAAGAAGCCCCAGUGGGCAGAACUCAUCACCAUGGACUGGACUUGGAGGAUCUUCUUCUUGGUGGCAGCAGCUACAGGUGUCCAGUCCCAGGUGCAGCUGGUGCAGUCUGGGGCAGAGGUGAAGAAGCCUGGGGCCUCCGUGAAGGUCUCCUGCAAGGCUUCUGGAUACACCUUCACCAACCACUACAUGCACUGGGUGCGACAGGCCCCUGGAAAAGGGCUUGAGUGGAUGGGAUGGGAUCUACCCUGGUAAUGGUAACACAAAGUUACGUGCAGAAUUUCCAGGGCAGAGUCACCAUGACUGCGGACAAGUCCACGAGCACAGCCUACAUGGAGCUGAGCAGCCUGAGAUCUGAGGACACGGCCGUGUAUUACUGUGCGAGAGACACAGUGUUAAACCACAUCCUGAGAGUGUCAGAAACCCCAAGACUGAGCACAGACACUGAGACGUUGAGCACCACCUGCGGAGGUCUGUCCUGCAGACCCAGACAGCGAUGGGUGAAUGAAAUACACUCUUACACCCAGGACAGUGAUUUCAGUGGGCUAUGGAUGCUUGUCUGCUGCUUUCAGAAGGUGGAUCUCUGCUCCUCAGAGGUGGCCUUGGUCUUCAAGUUUCAGCAACUCUGGGAAACCAAUGACAGCUCCAUCUUUUACUCCCUGCUCUGCAUCUGA
Molecule: non-coding RNA, 684 nt
Organism: Saimiri boliviensis boliviensis (Bolivian squirrel monkey)
Lineage: Eukaryota; Metazoa; Chordata; Mammalia; Primates; Cebidae
Source: RefSeq, a predicted model, not a curated record